Molecule: unclassified non-coding RNA, 877 nt
Filed under: Hevea brasiliensis (rubber tree)
Lineage: Eukaryota; Viridiplantae; Streptophyta; Magnoliopsida; Malpighiales; Euphorbiaceae
Source: RNAcentral
GCGGCGGGGGUGGAGGAGAGUUGGGAGGCGGGGGUGGUGGGUAUAAUGGAGGUGAUGGGGGAGGUGGGGAUUGAUAAAUAGGUGGUGGCGGGGGUGAAUUGGGUGGUGGCGGAGGUGAAUGGGGUGGUGGAGGGGGGGAGGAUUGAGGUGGCGGCGGUGGUGGUGAUGGGUGAUGAGGUGGUGGUGGUGAGUGGGGUGGCGGUGGCGGAUAGAAAACGGGUGGCGGGGGAGAAUUGGGCGGGGGAGGUGGUGGGGAUCGGACACAGUAGACGGGCGCGGGAGGCGAUGGUGAAGGCGGUGGCGGCGAUGAAGGUGGUGGGGGUGACGGAGAUGGAGGAGGAGAAGGCGGGGGAGGUGAUGGAGACGGCGGAGGCGGGGAUGGCGGCGGUGGAGAUGGUGGAGGUGGUGAUGGAGGCGGAGGAAUAGGAGAAGGUGGAGGCGGCGAUGGCGGAGGGGGAGACGGAGGAGGCGGAGAUUGCAGCGGUGGGGGCGGUGAUGGUGGCGGUGGCGAUGGAGGAGGAGGCGAUGGAGGCGGCGGCGACUGCAGCGGCGGAGAAGGUGAUGGAGGAGGUGGCGGGGGAGGAGGUGGCGGUGGAGGCGGUGGUGACUGUAGCGGCGGGAAAGGAGAUGGAGGCGGCGAUUGUGGCUGUGGCGGUGAUGGUGAGGGAGGCGGCAUUACAGGAGGAGAAGGUGACGGCGGUGGGAGAACAGGCGGCAACAUUACCGGUGGAGGAAGUACCGGCACAAACGGAGCACACCCGAAUGAAUUACAGUUCACAGGAUGAGAAAGGAACGACUUACAUUGCUUCGCUGACCGCUGUACCGGCCGCCCCGGUAUACAAUUCCGCCGAUCACUGAACGCCGGAAGCCUCAAACA